RNAcentral lists this ribosomal RNA (253 nucleotides) under uncultured bacterium. RNAcentral describes it as "partial 16S ribosomal RNA". It matches the Rfam family "Bacterial small subunit ribosomal RNA", at positions 524 to 776 of the family's 1533-position model. The record is from RNAcentral.
UACGUAGGGUGCGAGCGUUGUCCGGAUUUAUUGGGCGUAAAGAGCUCGUAGGCGGUUUGUCGCGUCGGCGGUGAAAUCUCCACGCUUAACGUGGAGCGUGCGGUCGAUACGGGCAGACUUGAGUUCGGUAGGGGAGAGUGGAAUUCCUGGUGUAGCGGUGAAAUGCGCAGAUAUCAGGAGGAACACCAGUGGCGAAGGCGGGUCUCUGGGCCGAUACUGACGCUGAGGAGCGAAAGCGUGGGGAGCGAACAAG